GUGGCUUUGGUGCUGUUUGGGCAAAUGUACGCUAGACUUAGGAUCUAGUGCCUCACGGUGUGGGAGUUCGAGUCUCCCCGCCCGUA
This 86-nucleotide transfer RNA is filed under the name Cytophagaceae bacterium. RNAcentral's name for it is "tRNA-Leu". Lineage: Bacteria; Pseudomonadati; Bacteroidota; Cytophagia; Cytophagales; Cytophagaceae. The record is from RNAcentral.